UCCCGGAUCGUCUAAUGGUAGGACCGUGGCUUUUGGUGCCAUUUAUGGGGGUUCGAAUCCUCCUCCGGGAG
RNAcentral lists this transfer RNA (71 nucleotides) under Actinoplanes sp. SE50/110. RNAcentral's name for it is "tRNA-Gln (TTG) (tRNA-Gln-TTG-1-1)". It matches the Rfam family "tRNA". Rfam says of the family: Transfer RNA (tRNA) molecules are approximately 80 nucleotides in length. Their secondary structure includes four short double-helical elements and three loops (D, anti-codon, and T loops). The record is from Rfam by way of RNAcentral. RNAcentral also lists the same sequence under 2 other names. Lineage: Bacteria; Bacillati; Actinomycetota; Actinomycetes; Micromonosporales; Micromonosporaceae.